This is a long non-coding RNA of Passer domesticus (house sparrow), 8641 nucleotides long. RefSeq lists it as uncharacterized. Lineage: Eukaryota; Metazoa; Chordata; Aves; Passeriformes; Passeridae. The transcript is spliced from 6 exons. The record is from RefSeq and is a predicted model, not a curated record.
ACUAACAUCUUAAUUUGGGUGUUGGUGUUCCUCUCCCAUGUUCAGGUGCCUAAUAUGGAUUCUUAUCACCCCAAAACAGUGAGCUUGGAUCCCAGCCCAGCAUGCGUGGGCACUGGCAGCACUUGGAUAUUUAUAGGGAUUUCUACUUCCUUCUUUUCUUUGGGCCACUUUCUUACUACAAGAAUUCCUGAUUUCUUCCAUGCACCAAUGAAUGCAACCCUUCUAGGGUGGUGUCUGGGCAGGGGAUGUUAUGUAUGUACCUUCCCAGCUGCCAGGGCCAGUGCAAACAAGCAUAGCACAGCACUGGCCUGCAAGGCACUGAGGGGAAAAAAAUGUACCACCUUUUUCACACCCUUAGAUCUAGUUUUGGGAGAUUACUCAGCCUUGUUGAUUUAUUGUGUCAUUAUUAAACUCGGCUAUCUUGACAUCCCAAGCACCAUUACAAUGUGGUUAGAGAGGGAGAGAGAGUCAAAUGCCCUGAACCUUUUUCUGAUUGGUAAUUUCCUCUGGAUCUACAGAGUGGCAGAAGGGUGGAACUUUCAAACAGUACUGUACUGAUUUUGUUUUGAUCUAUUCUUUGAAAGGUGAAUCAAUAAAAUCUGAUUCUUACAGAAAUCUUUAAAUUGCCACUUGAAGUUUCAUCUUCCUUCCUAGGUGCUCAUGGUAGAGAAGGACAUCAGCAGAGGUAGCUGCUUGACAGGUGCUCAUGUGCAGAGCAGCUCAAAGCACUUGCUGACAGACCAGCCAGCUGACAAUGGGAAUGCAGGGCAGUAAAUUCCCUUUUUCUUUCCCUUGCUGGUGAUUCUUUCUAGGUUUCUCUGUUCCACUCAGAUGUCAUUUCCCUCAAAAAAUUGUAAGAAUCUGGUAACUCUGCCUCAUUCUGAAAUUUCAGUUAAAAUCUGUGAGUAUGUCUCUGUUGGGAGCUCAGCACCAGAAAUGUGAUUUUAGAAGCUUUGUUUCCUUUGGAAGCCAGAGGAAUAAUGUCAAUAUUAGACCUGAACUGCUGUAGUCAAGACUUGGGACUAUGGGGAAUGGAGCAGAGCCCUGAAUGCAUGGCUGGAGAAGGAAAACCUGCAGUGGACAUAUUUGAGCAUUUCCUGUCAGAAGGCUCUAAGAGACUGGAUAAGGAGCCAUUACUUGAAUGAGUCCAUAGCAUCCUCUGUGUCUCAUUAACAGAUGGUUCUAAAAGGCAACAGUGGAAAUGCAAACUCAUGCAUGUUUGUGCUUGCUCUGCUUGUGCCUCUCCUGGCAGCACUUGCUGGCAUAAUCUGUCAGGAAUUAACCUUUUGCUUGAGGUAUUGUUACACAGGCUGGUAUAAUUCAUCCCAUUGCCUGUGACAAAUCUCUGUCUCACCCCUCCACACGCUUCCAACCUAGAAGGAAUUAUGUCAGAAUGGUAGAGAAAUGCUGGAUGUAGGAUCUCACCUUUGUAAUGGGCAAACUUUCUUCUCCCACUCUAAGUUUUUCUGUGCUUUCAUUGCCAGGAUUGUCCACACAAUCCUCUACCCCAAUUACCCAUUGAUUAGGGCUCCUCUGGUAAUCUGCCAGAUGCAGGUUUGUUACCAACAGAUGGCAGAAAGCAUUUGAGGUAAUGAGAGAAAGGAUAAUGAUUGCUGAUCUGCAUAAUAAUCAGCUUGUGAACAGGUUUCAUGGUUUUUUUCCAUUUCCACUGGCUCAAAGAUUGCACUGUCAGACAACCAGGCACCUUCUCUUGAGUUAAAGAAAUAGUAAGGGAGGAACCAAUUUCUUCCAGCUACUGUUAAGAUUUCUGGAGGUACACACACACUCCACCACACAGAUUAAGAUUUUAGCCAGAGUCAGAGACGGCACCAGGAUUGCUAGGAAUGAAUGCUCAGCCCUCUUGUGAUCAAGACCUUUAACUGACCAAUCUGGUCAGAAAUACUUUCAUUUUUCUGUUUUUUGAGACAAUUUCCCCCACUUGUACCACAAGGCAAGAAGAUCCCCAUCUCCCGUGGACCAGCAUCACCUUUGCACUGUCUAAUACCUAGUCUGAAAAAAAAUACUUCCCACUUCCCUGUGUUUUGGAGUUCUUCAAACAAAUUCUGCAGCUUUGCACAUUGACACAGCCUCAUACAAGUCUACAUCUAAGCUACUUCGGAGUCCUUGCAGGAAGAAGUCUUCUCUGGAACCCUCUAGAGCAGUGUUACAGGAGUUAUAUGCUUUAAAACACCAGUUUCCUGUGCUGCACAAGGUCUGUACAGAUUUUCACUGUUUGAAAUCUACAGGGUGCUUGGACUCUAACUGUCCCUAUCUGAAAUGAGCCAUAUAACACUCACUCAAAAAUCAUUUUGGUGCAAUUUACUGUGACUUUUGGCAAAGGAUUUGGAUUGAAGAACUUUUCUCAAAAAAACCAGCCUUACACACAUGGGUGCAAAUGCUGGGCUGUUCUCCAGGUGGACUGGAAGACAUGGCAGACAUCAAACACCAUUUUUUCCCAUUUCCAUCAAACACCUUUGCUUUGUGAAAUCCCUUUCUUGGUUUAAGUUCUAGAUGGAGAUUUUUGAGAUUCAGGCUUGAUUCCAUAGAAUAGUAAAUGCAGAUUUUUCCCUGAUUAACCUUUCUGUUUACUCUGGGUGCUGAUAAUGCAGCAGCCUCCUGCCAGUUCUUUGCAAGGGUGGUAUUUAUCACAUUCUCAGCUGUAUCACUUGUCACUAUGAAUUUUAGCAUCUGAACCUUACAACACAAUCACUAUCUACUCCUGUCCAUGUGUUGCAGCUGUAUCCUCCCUCUCCAGGAGAGGGAGAAUGUUGGUUUUUUUUGAGCUCAUACUCUAAAGGACAAGGAUUUACUAUUAAGUCUUGAGGCCUUGCUACAGACAUUGCUGUUGGUUACAGGAUUUUGCUGUCCCUUGCCUGGUUUCUAAGGAAACAAUGCCUGGGCAUCUGAGCUUGUGCACAUUUGUUGUAUCCUUUUUUUUUUUAAGUGUCUGUGUUUUUUUCUCUGUGAUUUCUGAAUUUAUUUGCCGAAUGCUAUUUUAUUUGGCACAUACAUUUAUAGUUACUGACUUACUAUAAGAUUCCUGAAAAUAUAUGAUGGGGAAUGACUCUGAAGACAACACCCAUGGUGUAUGCUCAAAAUUAGAGAUACUAGAGAAUCUAUAUGAAAGAAAAAGAGGGGAGGCUGUGGCCAGAGGAAAAGCUGCUUCUGAUGCUGGAACUUAUUAGACACAUGAGAGUUCAAAUGCUAAUUCAUACAACAGCCAUCUUUAAUUUGACUUCUGCAAUUGUUAGUGAAAACUAGUCACAGUAGUCACUGUGAGUGGAAGAAACCCCAAGUUCCUUGUAUUUCUUAGAGACUGUCUAUGACUGUCCUAAUUUAGCACCACGGCAACGCUACAGGCCAGCCUUGUAGAUGCCUGCAGGAUACUUAUUAACAUGUUCUAUUUAUUUUCUGGAAAGAGAAUGGCUGAACCAUGUCCUGCAUUAGAGAGUGAUGUUUGUGAAGAAAGAUGGAGCUUUUAGCCAUUCUGUUGAACAGGUGACCCCUGAUUAAGUUGGGUCUUGCCCAGAAGACCUGCAGGGAGAAAGAAAAGCCUGAGGGAUAGACUUCACAUGCAUCUGAGCUGGCAUUUGAUUCUUCUGGCUUGUGGAUGACACCAGUGGGCAAUAAGAUCUGACAAGGCAGGAUCUCUCUUGGUGGAAACAAUAAUCAUGACAAAUGGGAGUCAACUGCGAGACUGUGUGUAUCCUGACAGCAGCAUGCUGGGUGAAAAACAGACUUCUUGGAACUGAUCAGAGUGCUCCUGCCAGCUGCAUCUACGUCCUGGGAUCAGCCAGAAUGCCAAGAGCAGCUGAUGUGUUUGAGCACAUAUGCACCCCCCAGCAGAGGAUGGGAUGCGGUGCUGCGAAGUUCCACAUCACCAAAAAAUGAGAUGCUUCCAUUCUGUGUAACUAAUCUUAUGUCAGACAGGAGGGAUAAAGGGAAAUGUGUACACCAAGCACAGGUGUGGAUUUGCUGAGAGAAAACACAGGAUCCUGGGGAAUAGUUUUGAUGGCUCCUAUUAAAAAGUUUCACUGUGUGGGGAAGAACCCAAUACCCAUCAAGUCAGAAGUGGUUUGUGAUGAGAGUUCGAAGGGGCUUUCUCAUUUUGGAGGAUACAUCCCAAAGUAGCCUUAAAUGAGGCAUCCAGCUCCAUCAGGUGAAUUUGUACAUGAGGAAUGUCACGGAGCCAGGCUCAGACACUGGCAGGUCUAGAGCCAACUGAAUCCAUCCAGAGCACUGUGGUGCAAGGGGAGCCCCGAGAGGAUAAAUGACACCAUUCUGCACAGCCACCAACUGCUGAUUCAAAGGUUUGACAAUCAGAUUUAUGACUCCAACUGCCCAUCCUGUUCCCAUGCCAGAAGCUGCCAUCCCCACCAUGACAUGUACCUGCUUCUGCACUGGGAAACAUCAUGUCUUAGCUCAACCCUCCCACCAACAGCCUCGGGACCUGGAGAGGAGUUGUGGCACCGUGUUAGGCACAGGGCUGCGGCAGAGGAACCGGAGAGCGAGAACAGCUAAAGCUUCUCUGGGCUGUGAUUCCAUGCUAUACACUAGGACUGAUCACAAAACCUUUGCUUACUUCUGAAGCUGAAGCUUUAGGAGAGGGAAAUCCAGCUGUAGCUAAUCUUUCCUGGCUUUCUAAUGGCAACAGUAUUGAUUAACCUUGAAAGAAUGUCUGAAAAUACAUAGAAGUAAUGAGCUUACAUGGUACUUCUGGCUGAAAAUUGGGCAAAACUCACAGGUGUCAUUGUCUAUUUCAUCCCAUAUCAAUUUAAGCAGCUUGACAUGAAGUCUCUGGAGGAAUGAAGCUGCAGAGCAGAGGCACCAGACUUUUCAUAGGAAAACACAGGGAUUCAAUCUACAGGAACUCCACAAUUUUUCCAAGCUAACACUUAUUAGAAAUAUUUACCCAGACUGCCUGCCUCUUACCAAUGAAAGAAAAUAACAAUUUCACCUUACAGUUUUUCUUAUGGCCAGUAUAAGUCAUCAUUGUUCCCUGACUGCACUAAGGGACAAUAUUUUACACCCAGCUUUUCACUUGGGUUUCCAGAGUGGCCAGCAUGGGGUCAUGAAUUGUUAUCUUCUUAGCACUGAUGAAUAUUUUGUAGCCACAGCAGCAUUUCCAAGUUAACUGACUAAGACUGAAUGAAUGAAUUUGGGUUCAAAUGGAUUGUUCAUUGGUAUCCCAGAGGAGACUCUGUCAUUUUUAGACCUCAGAGGAACAGAAUCUGGGGCAUUUGUACAUACUAUUCGGCAGACUGUCAGCAAGGCACACUAACAAAUUCAUAAGAGCUGCCCUUACGUGAACUAUUAGGAGGCCAAGUGAUUAAUAGGUUGAUUUGUUGAAACUGUUAACUUCCUAAAAUCAUGACUGAGUAGACUCAUUGCUUACGAUACAAGAAGCUGUUAUUAACAUUCCAAUAGCUGGUUUUCGUUAAAGACAUCUGUGACCUAGAACUGUGAAAGCCUGUUUGGUUUUGCAUUUGUGUCAUAAAUAAACGAAACCCUGCAUUUGUAUACCCAGCACAUGUUUCCUGUAAGGGGCUUUCUUUGAAAGCAGUCAAAGCAAAGCAAGUCAUUGCCUGGUGGCAAAGGCAGCUGAUGGGGUACCACUUUGCAGCUCAUGGGCUUUCAUCUCCGGUGAGGACAAUGUGACAAUGGGAGAUGUUGAGGUCCUUCAUGCAACGUUCCUUUUCCAUGCCAAGAUGGUACUCUGCUUUUAUGCAACAUGUGUACCCCAGGCACUUGGGAACUUGCUUUUUGGCAGCCAUUUUUCUAAUAUACAAAUACUGCAGAAGAAUUUCUCCCUACCCACCCACAAUGCCACAUAUGUGCUUUGUGCUUGUACCGCCUUCUCCAGCUGUUGUGGAAAGCAAACUGAAAUUGUAAUUACCUCUAAAAGAACUGAUCUUUUGAAACUGUCAGCAGCCUAGGAAAGAUUAUGAAAUAACAAAUGGCACAAAGACCCAGGAAAACACAAUGGUUAAAGACCUAUUUACCCUAGGCAACCUGAUUUUGGAAAACUGAUGAGUCGCCUAGUCUUAGAUCCAGAAAAGGGCUUGGGUCUGGGUAAGGAUUGGAGCCCUCAAGGGUGAAUCAUGUGUUGCAGAAAUCCCACUCACCUAAUGUAGCCAUGCCACUGAUGCUCUGAGGGCACUGUGCAUUCUGAUCUAUUUGUAAAAUAGCAGUUGUUAUACAAAGCACAAAUUGCUCAAUUAUCACAGUCUGAACCAUCCACCCCUCUUUCCACCCAGGAAUACUAACUACUUGAAUGCUGCACAUGUUGCCUGCUCUCUAGUAUUUAAUGAUUCCUAAUGAUUCCUUCCACAGGAACAGCUGGAGGAGUUUCUCUCUCUCCUGGACCUGCAUGUCUCAGGCAAAUGCUCCACCUCUUGGAGCAUUUGGAGAGGAAGGGCACUCUUAAACUCUUAGGCUGAAGCUGUUUCCCUCGUGUGACUAGGCAGAGACUGUGAUGAAUAGCAGCAUCACAAAUAAUUUAGGUCCUCCUACUUCAAAGGAAUUGGGGUUGGAAGAGUUUGGCUACUGAAUCCCCCUUCUUCCAGGAAUCUUCAAUCUUAGCCUGGAAUUAUAUGUGAUAAAGCAAGAAACAACCCAGAAAAAGAAAUUAACCAGAAACAAACCCAGAACCAGACCUAAGGACUUCACACUGUGAUCACAGGAGCUGGGAGAUCCUCACAGAGAUCUUUGGAUAGAACAGCUACCUCCUGCUCGGGCUGAAGGAGUGAAAUUCUCUCAUUGUGCCCACAGAGGAAUCGUCACAGCUUGGCUCUGCAUGGGGGGAAGUAGGAGAGCUUUGGGGGAGUAUCUGUUGUUGUGAAAGGAAAGGCAUUUUACAAGAAAUUGUCACCCUCCCCUGUGUUCAGGGAAUCUCUUGUUUAGGAUAGGAGGUUGGGACCCUCCAGGCUCUGUUAUACCAGGGCCUCUAUCUACACACUUCAAGAAUAUACAAACUGCACAGAAGAGAGUGGAUCCAUCGCUUGGGUCAAAAGGGGAAGAGCAGUAGCUGAGAGAACAAAUUUCUUGCAACACUGGGCAGGACAUGGAUGGGAAGCUGUUCUCCUGGUAUGGGAAGAUGUUUUUACUGAAAUAGAUGAGAGUGCCUUGAAUUUUCAAUUACCAAAACUGGUACUUGAACUGGUAAAUUACCAGGAAACUGGUUUCUUCAGCAGAUGGGAUGUCUCACUUCAUAUUCACUUUUGUUACGUCUGUAUUCAGAUCCCACUUAGUCUUCUUUUCGUGAAUCAUGUUUGUAAACUGUAUGGUUCAGCUAUUCAAACAUUGGACAAGGUCCUGCUGGUUUCUGUAUGCUGAAAGCCUGGAAACGAUUAAAAUAAUCUGAAAUGUCCAAAAAGAAACUAUUUUAUAACCUGAAAAUCCUACUGAUGCCUUCCAGGUUUAUCUAUCACAAUUCCUGCUUCCUUGAGGGCAGUUUUAGAUCACGUACUAAAAUGUUUCAAAUGAUCAGCACAGACUGGAGGUACCAUGUGUCAUAGCUAAAAGGUGCAGCAUGUUUUAAUUAUUGUUAUUUUGAGUGAGGAGAUGCCUGUGCAGCUCUCUCCAAACACAUGUGGGCUGUUUCCUUCCGUGCUUUCAGUGGACUGAUAACUGUAAAUAUGAUGAACAUGACAUCAGGGAUUCCAGGGAGGAGGAGAACCUCAAUUCAGGUUUGUCAAUCCUAUUCCACAGCCAUGAGCCAGAUUCCUGCUUUUAAUAACCACAUCAGGGAGUGAAUAUAGUCUGUGGCUGCUUACAAAGGACCAUCUCAUGAUGCUCUCAUCUGACAUCCUCCCCAUGGAUCAACUCUGGCCCAUGGGAAGCAUGGUGAUGAAGCAUGCACUCCACAAACUAAACAGCCACUGUUUAAAUUGCAAGGACUUGAUUCUUUUCUUACUCACAGCAGAUGGAGGAGAAAACACAACAGUCAAGGACUCAGUGUAAAUGGAGCUGGCAGUGCUUUCCUGAGACAGCAGACAGCUUGAAACAAUGGCUCUGAGAAGUGCGUCCUGCCUUCAUUCAUCGCACUAGGAGACUUGCCACCGAGUCCCAUGGAAACAAUGUGAACAGCCAUAUUCAGGGUUUCACUGCUGAUUAUUUUAGCAGACAGGAUGGGGACAGGGUAGGAAUGAAACCCAUGUGGGAAGUGGGAAUUGCAUGGUAGGAAGUAGGGAGACAACACAGAAAAAAAUCAGGGAAGGGGGAAAGAAACAAAGACAGGAGAGGGUGAAAGAAUAAACCCUCAAGGGCAGACAUGGUGGUGAUAAUAAGGUGCUUGCUGUUUAUCUCCAAGUGACACUGGACCCAGUUUGGCAGGAACAGAGCUAACAGGAUGAAGAUAACUGGGUCAUUUCUUCCUCAGUGAAUGUUUCACUUGUCUGCUGUGUCCAUAUGCUAUGGGGAGAAUUGUUCUCUGGCUGGGGGACACAAAUCACCCUUUUGGCAUAUGCCAGCCCAUGUGCUGUGAGAAAACAUCUCCUUUCAGCCAAACUCAGAUUAGGCACCUAGCAUCGGCCAAGAUGGGAAGAACCACCUCCUGGAGGUGUCUGUCCUCCUUCACCCUUCUGCAGGGAGACAGAGCUGUUCUCAGGAGAGGUGAAUCCCACCCCCAGGAUGGGUAGGA